RNAcentral lists this ribosomal RNA (988 nucleotides) under uncultured euryarchaeote. Its description in RNAcentral is "bacterial SSU rRNA". It matches the Rfam family "Archaeal small subunit ribosomal RNA", at positions 345 to 1332 of the family's 1478-position model. Lineage: Archaea; Methanobacteriati; Methanobacteriota. The record is from RNAcentral.
AACCUCCACAAUGCACGAAAGUGUGAUGGGGGGAUUCUGAGUGCUUACAGUUUAACUGUAGGCUUUUCGUUAGGGUAAAUACCUAGCGGAAUAAGUGGUGGGCAAGACUGGUGCCAGCCGCCGCGGUAACCCCAGCGCCACAAGUGGGAACCACGUUUAUUUGGUCUAAAGCAUUCGUAGCCUGUUUGGCAAAUGCCCUGUGAAAUCGUUGUGCUCAACACAACGGCGGGCAGGGUAGACUACCAAACUAGGGACCAGGGUAGGGAAGCGGUAUUCCUGAGGGAGCGGUAAAAUGUGAUAAUCUCAGGAGGACCACCAAUGGCGAAGGCAGCUUCCUAAAAUGGAUCCGACGGUGAGGAAUGAAAGCUAGGGGAGCGAUCCGGAUUAGAUACCCGAGUAGUCCUAGCCGUAAACGCUGCAUGCCAGAUGUUACACAAUCCUCGAGAUUGUGUAGUGUCGUAACGAAGGUGUUAAGCAUGCCACCUGGGAAGUACGGUCGCAAGUCUGAAACUUAAAGGAAUUGGCGGGGGAGCACCACAAGGGGUGCGGCGUGCGGUUUAAUUGAAUUCAACGCCGGAAAUCUCACCAGUGGCGACGGCAGUAUGAAGCUCAGUCUAAAGGGCUUAGCUGACGAGCCGAGAGGUGAUGCAUGGCCGCCGUCAGCUCGUGCCGUGAGGUGUCCUGUUAAGUCAGGUAACGAGCGAGACCUGUGUCCACUGUUGCUACCGUGUCCGUAAGGAUGAGCGAGCACACUGUGGAGACUGCCUCCGAAAGGGGGAGGAAGGCGCAGGCUACGGCAGGUCUGUACGUCCCGAAUCUGCUGGGCUACACGCGCGCAACAAUGGUCGUGACAAUUGGAUGCAACACCGAAAGGUGAAGCCAAACCUCGAAACACGACCCUAGUAUGAAUUGAGGGCUGCAACUCGCCCUCAUGACAUCGGAAUCCCUAGUAAUCAGAGGUUAGCAUCCUCCGGUGAAUACGUCCCUG